RNAcentral lists this ribosomal RNA (799 nucleotides) under Streptomyces sp. DSA43. RNAcentral's name for it is "bacterial SSU rRNA". It matches the Rfam family "Bacterial small subunit ribosomal RNA", at positions 40 to 854 of the family's 1533-position model. The record is from RNAcentral. Lineage: Bacteria; Bacillati; Actinomycetota; Actinomycetes; Kitasatosporales; Streptomycetaceae.
CGGCGUGCUUACACAUGCAGUCGAACGAUGAACCGCUUUCGGGCGGGGAUUAGUGGCGAACGGGUGAGUAACACGUGGGCAAUCUGCCCUGCACUCUGGGACAAGCCCUGGAAACGGGGUCUAAUACCGGAUAUGACUGUCCAUCGCAUGGUGGAUGGUGUAAAGCUCCGGCGGUGCAGGAUGAGCCCGCGGCCUAUCAGCUUGUUGGUGAGGUAGUGGCUCACCAAGGCGACGACGGGUAGCCGGCCUGAGAGGGCGACCGGCCACACUGGGACUGAGACACGGCCCAGACUCCUACGGGAGGCAGCAGUGGGGAAUAUUGCACAAUGGGCGAAAGCCUGAUGCAGCGACGCCGCGUGAGGGAUGACGGCCUUCGGGUUGUAAACCUCUUUCAGCAGGGAAGAAGCGAAAGUGACGGUACCUGCAGAAGAAGCGCCGGCUAACUACGUGCCAGCAGCCGCGGUAAUACGUAGGGCGCAAGCGUUGUCCGGAAUUAUUGGGCGUAAAGAGCUCGUAGGCGGCUUGUCACGUCGGUUGUGAAAGCCCGGGGCUUAACCCCGGGUCUGCAGUCGAUACGGGCAGGCUAGAGUUCGGUAGGGGAGAUCGGAAUUCCUGGUGUAGCGGUGAAAUGCGCAGAUAUCAGGAGGAACACCGGUGGCGAAGGCGGAUCUCUGGGCCGAUACUGACGCUGAGGAGCGAAAGCGUGGGGAGCGAACAGGAUUAGAUACCCUGGUAGUCCACGCCGUAAACGGUGGGCACUAGGUGUGGGCAACAUUCCACGUUGUCCGUGCCGCAGCUA